This is an RNA transcript of Melospiza georgiana, 2445 nucleotides long. It is a transcript of the gene named synaptic defective enhancer 1-like, with no coding region annotated. Lineage: Eukaryota; Metazoa; Chordata; Aves; Passeriformes; Passerellidae. The transcript is spliced from 5 exons. The record is from RefSeq and is a predicted model, not a curated record.
CCAAACCACCGCACACCCUCAUAACAGCGACAACAAAAAAAUAAAGCUCAAGCUGGAGUAUGGUCUUUUAUUUUAAAAAAUAUCCCAACAAAAAACAAACAACCAACUUCGUUCCCCAACUCUUCCCACCCCCUCCCUUGCAGAGUGAGAUUGUUUUGUCUGGAAAAAAAUCCAAAGUAUAACAAGGGGAGAACAGUUAGUGCUGAUUUUCAUUUGCAUAAAUUUUCAUAUAUUUUGGUGAAAAUAAUAGACUAGUGGAGAGCGGGGCUUAGUGGAGUCAGUGCAAAGGAAAAUCUUAACAUGGAUCGUUUCGCUGGAGUUGAGAACAUGCUUUUUCCCCCCUGUCACCUUAUUAAAAUCAAAAAUUAAAAAAAAUUUCUCUAAAUCCUGGGAGUUUGAUCGGCGUCUGCCCCUGAUUUUAAUCCAAAGGAGCUGCUUUUGGAACUGGUGUGUCCGGCUUUGGUGUAUGCCCGCUGAGGAAGAGGCCCACUCUUUUCUCCAGUCUUGGUGUGUGGAUUUCUCUCUCUCCAAGUAAUUCCUCAGCAUACCCUUGAAUGGCAUCUACCACACGUGCUAUGUGACAGAUCCACACAAACAACAGAGGGGAAAGAGCCUCACUUAACUGAUUAGAGAAGAGAAGCAGUGAAAGGGAAUAUGCACAAAGCACUGCCAAAUUCACAGAGCAAAGGAAAAGAUAAAAAAUAGAAUAAUUUCACCAGCCUUUUUUUUUCUCCAUUGAGUAAUGUAAGGUAUUUUUUAUACUAGCACCAGGGAAAGAAUUUUCAGGAAAAAAUGUGAUUUCUUAAUUAAGGAUGUCUAAUUCAAAAUAUAUUCAUUUAAUAAAGACAUUAUGAUAGAAGCAACUACUCAUUCAUAUCAAUAAUUCAUUCAGAAGUAAACAAUAUCAACAUAUUAGCAUUUAUUUUUCCAUUUAGUAGGUUGUGAUUUAAAAUAAAUCUAAAUCAUCAUAAUCAUUCUGCUCCAUAUGCUGGGAAAGAAAAAGUCACCUUAAACCAGAUGCAUAUUGUGAAAAAAAAGGAAAAAAAAGAAAAAGAGGAAGACAAGUUGUUCUAAAGAAACAGCAUAUGGGAGAAAAUCUUAAGCCUCAGUAAAGAUGCUCUGCUUUGUAGAUGGCAAUUUAGUUUUGAACUGAAAGAGGGUAUGUUUAGAUUGGAUAUUAGGAAGAAAUCCUUCACUGAGAAGCUGGCGAGGCACUGGAACAGGUUGUCCAGAGAAGCUGUGGAUACUCUAUCUCUGGAAUUGUUUAAGGCCAAGUUAGAUGGGACUUUGAGCAUCCUGGUCUAGUGGAAGGUGUCCCUGUGCAAGGCAGAGGAGUUGGACUAGUUGGUCUUUAAAGUCCCUUCCAACCCAAACAAUUCUGUGAUUCUAGAAUUCCGUGAUAACUAUGAUUCUAUGAUAGCAAAGCUGAGUUAUGCCAAACAAGAUUCUGGUCAAUAAUUUUCAAGAGCUAGAAGUCAAAUACUGAUUUCUUUCUUUUAGAAAAUUAAGAAAAAAAAGGGAUUUCUGUAAUUUCCUUUUAAUCAGGAAAAAGCAAUAAAUGUGAUCAAGAAAAAUUCAAGUUUGAAGAUGCUGAUGUAUGGAAACAAUAGGCUGUUUGCAAAUCCUUAUGUAUGGAAACAAUAGGCUGUUUACAAGUUCCAAGUUGGCUCUGCACGUGUACCUGCCUGUGUGCUUGGAGCUGCAUUUAUUUUUCCUGUUGCUAAUUACAUAGCCAAUGCCUCUCCUAACUUGUACCCUUAACUACCCACAUCAUUUUGUCAGCUGACAGCUCUUUUUCAGCUCCCAAACACAUCAGCACUCCUGAAGCAAGCUCUGUUAAAAACUUUCAUUUCUGUCCCUGUCUGAAGUCCAGAGAGUGGCGUUUGGAGCCUGUGGAUCAGGGCUGUAUUUCGAAUUUUUUUACUUUUGACAUACUGAAAAGGGAAUGAAGGGCUCAAGGCCUGGUCAGCCUGUGCUUCUCUGCUACAGCAUCUUGAGAAGUUUGUGUAGGUCUCCUCUUAUCGCUUUUUCUGUUUUUGCUUUCAGUAGGUGAGGCCAGAUGCUGUGGUGGGGAGUGGGGUGUCAGCACUCUGCCUUUUCUGCUCCCACCUCCAAGGCAGCACUGACAGCACACUCUUUGGGCCUCAGUGCAGCCAUAGGGCCCUCUUGUCCUUGGAUGAGCUCAGCAAAGCCCUUUCUCUCCCCCAGACAGAGAGCUCUGUAUUCUGUCUGGGAAAAUAUGACUGUGCAUCCCUUCUUCCCCAGAAUUCCAGCAGUGAUGAUCUCGGGGGCCUCUCAAAGUGGUGGCUGCAGUUGCAAUGCUGUGAGCAUUGCAGGUUAACUCUGCAAAGAGGUGUUUUCUUAGCCUCUCAGGAAAUUGGGAGCAGAAGAAGGAAGCAGGAUGAAGAGAAUAGUGAAAAAGGGAGAGAGAGAGGCCUCCCAAAG